GGCACACUUUUUAUUAACAGAGGACAUAUUGGAUGAGUGACAUGUUUAUUAAUAGGAGAGUAUGUGGUACACUUUUUAUUUACAUAGGAUAUAUGGGAUUCACUUUUAAUUAACAGGGACGUACGGGAUGCAUUUUUAUGAACAGGGUCUAGAUGCACUUUUUUGUAGACGAAAAGCACGUCUGGCGUAGAUUCAAAAUUUAAUCCUGGUAUCUAUGAGUAUUUUAUUAGCAGGGAACACAUGGGAUGCAUUUUUUUUAUUAACAGGGUCAUAUGUUGCACUUUUUUUUUAGCAGGGGAUAAUAGGAUGCAUUUUUUAAUAACAGGGUCAUAUGUUGCACACUUUUUAUUUACAUAGGACAUAUGGGAUGCACUUUUAUUAUAAUAGAUAAUGUGUGGUGCUUUUUACUAUAAGAGGACAUGUGUGGUGCUCUGAACUGAAAUCCUUUAUAAACAAGAGUAGACUUGUGGUGCACUAUGUUCCUAUCUUCU
RNAcentral lists this long non-coding RNA (491 nucleotides) under Mytilus galloprovincialis (Mediterranean mussel). The record is from RNAcentral. Lineage: Eukaryota; Metazoa; Mollusca; Bivalvia; Mytilida; Mytilidae.